CCCUGAGAGUUGAACGAGUUGGGAACUCAGAUGACUAUAUCGUAACACUCACAGUUACAAGUCAUGUACCUGUAUACUUAGUGGUUAAAGCCACACUCGAAGGCUCUGAUGAUGUAACUUUUCCUUAUGGUAAUUUUGUUUACACGGCCUGUCUGUGUCCUAACUGUUCAAAAAAUUUCUUCUGGGACAUACAAGGACCUGCAAAUGGGAUCCUAAUAGGGAAGGCUGAAGUCGUGUCAGAGGAAAAUAUAUGCCCUUCUGAUGUGGAAAUCUCCACCCCUGUUUACAAAGUUUGUAGCAAGCGUGAAAUCGUCGUAA
This is a long non-coding RNA of Capra hircus (goat), 318 nucleotides long. RefSeq lists it as uncharacterized. Lineage: Eukaryota; Metazoa; Chordata; Mammalia; Artiodactyla; Bovidae. The transcript is spliced from 3 exons. The record is from RefSeq and is a predicted model, not a curated record.